This 460-nucleotide unclassified non-coding RNA is filed under the name uncultured Bordetella sp. RNAcentral describes it as "partial 16S-23S ribosomal RNA intergenic spacer". It matches the Rfam family "Bacterial small subunit ribosomal RNA", at positions 339 to 793 of the family's 1533-position model. The record is from RNAcentral. Lineage: Bacteria; Pseudomonadati; Pseudomonadota; Betaproteobacteria; Burkholderiales; Alcaligenaceae.
CUACGGGGGCAGCGGUGGGGGAAUUUUGGACAAUGGGGAAACCUGAUUAGCCAUCGCAUUGUGCGAUGAAGAGCCUUCGGGUUGUAAAGCACUUUUGGCAGGAAAGAAACGGCGCAGGAUAAUACCUGUGCAACUGACGGUACCUGCAGAAUAAGCACCGGCUAACUGCGUGCCAGCCGCGGUAAUACGGCGGGUGCAAGCGUUAAUCGCGGAAUUACUGGGCGUAAAGCGUGCGCAGGCGGUUCGGAAGAAGAUGUGAAAUCCCAGAGCUUAACUUUGGAACUGCAUUUUUAACUACCGAGGCUAGAGGGAGCUGUGUCAGGGGGAGGUGGAAUUCCGCGUGUAGCGGUGAAAUGCGUGGAGGGUAUGCGGGAAGACACCGAUGGCGAGCAGCCUCUGGGAUAACACUGACGCUCAUGCACGAAAGCGUGGGGAGCAAACAGGAUUGAAUACCUGGUAG